GUUGGGUUUGUAUAUUUGGUAAUCUAAAGUAAUAAACUGCAGUACGCACGAUUUUGUACAUUUUGAUAAUUUGGGCUUAAUGGGCCAAAGAUCGGGUUCAUGGGCCAACGGGCCCAAUUCGGUAAGUAUGCGCGGAAAUCCCCAACCAUAGUGGGCUUGGAGCUGUGAGGGAAUUUGGAGUGGCCACCCGUUCUGAAAGUUUGAUUUUCUUCUGGUGAACUGGACAUCCUUUUAUUUACUUUUGAAGUUUUGGGUUUUCAAAUGUAAUAAGGCCGCUUAAUUAUUUUUGAUGGUUUUAAUAUGUAUUACUAAGAUAGGUAUUACUUAUUUUAACUGUCGAAAUUGGAUAGCUUUAGGGCGCGUUUUCAAAAACAACAAUUGAUUUCAAAAUAACACGACAACAAGCAAAGCUUCCGCAAUAAAA
Molecule: long non-coding RNA, 424 nt
Organism: Gossypium arboreum
Lineage: Eukaryota; Viridiplantae; Streptophyta; Magnoliopsida; Malvales; Malvaceae
Exons: 2
Source: RefSeq, a predicted model, not a curated record